CCUACGGGAGGCAGCAGUAGGGAAUUUUCGUCAAUGGGGGGAACCCUGACCGAGCAACGCCGCGUGAACGAAGACUUUACUCGUAAUUUAAAGUUCUUUUAACAGGGAAGAAAGAGAAAUUAGAUGGUACCUUAAGACUAAGCUCCGUGUAACUAGGUGCCAGAAGCCGCGGUAAUAAGUAGGGGGCGUGCGUUAUCCGGAAUUAUUGGGCGUAAAGGGUGCGUAGAUGGCAUAGAAAGUAUGUUGUAAAAAUGCGGGGCUCAACCCAGUAGGGCAAAAGAUACUGCAAAGCUAGAGUAUGACAGAGGCAAGUGGAACUACAUGUGUAGCGGUAAAAUGCGUAAAUAUAUGUAAGAACACCAGUGGCGAAGGCGGCUUGCUGGGUCGAUACUGACAUUGAGGCACGAAAGCGUGGGGAGCAAACAGGAUUAGAUACCCUUGUAGUC
This 446-nucleotide ribosomal RNA is filed under the name uncultured bacterium. Its description in RNAcentral is "partial 16S ribosomal RNA". It matches the Rfam family "Bacterial small subunit ribosomal RNA", at positions 338 to 795 of the family's 1533-position model. The record is from RNAcentral.